GGAUGCUGGUGAUUUUGAAUGCAAUAUCUGCUUUGAUUUAGCCCAAGACCCGAUUGUUACCCUUUGUGGCCAUCUUUUCUGCUGGCCGUGCCUUUACAAAUGGCUCCACAUUCACUCCCAUGCUCAGGAAUGCCCUGUUUGCAAAGCCCUCGUGAAGGAGGAGAAUUUGGUCCCCUUGUAUGGUAGGGGAAAGACAUCUACUGACCCAAGAUCAAAGUCCAUUCCUGGAGUUGAUAUUCCAAAUCGUCCAGCAGGGCAAAGACCUGAAACAGCUCCUCCACCAGAACAGAAUCAUUUCGCCCAACGUGGGUUUGGAUUCAUGGGAGGCUUGGGAGGUUUGGGAGGGUAUGCUCCACCAAUGGCAACCACAACAAGGUUUGGGAAUUUCACAUUCUCUGCAGCUUUUGGUGGC
RNAcentral lists this long non-coding RNA (412 nucleotides) under Fragaria vesca (wild strawberry). RNAcentral describes it as "long non-coding RNA (FVES_LNC001085)". Lineage: Eukaryota; Viridiplantae; Streptophyta; Magnoliopsida; Rosales; Rosaceae. The record is from RNAcentral.